RNAcentral lists this transfer RNA (66 nucleotides) under Euborellia arcanum. RNAcentral's name for it is "tRNA-Ala". Lineage: Eukaryota; Metazoa; Arthropoda; Insecta; Dermaptera; Anisolabididae. The record is from RNAcentral.
AGAAGUAUAGUUAAAUAUAAUAUUAGUUUUGCGUACUAAAGGUACUAUUUGUUAUAGUUAUUUCUA